Molecule: transfer RNA, 78 nt
Filed under: Mannheimia haemolytica
Lineage: Bacteria; Pseudomonadati; Pseudomonadota; Gammaproteobacteria; Pasteurellales; Pasteurellaceae
Description: tRNA-Leu
Source: RNAcentral
GCGGGACUGGCGAACAGACGCACCAGAUUUAGGUUCUGCGCCGCGAGGUGUGUGGGUUCAAGUCCUCGUCCCGCACCA